CCUACGGGAGGCUGCAGUGGGGAAUAUUGCACAAUGGGGGAAACACUGAUGCAGCGACGCCGCGUGAGUGAAGAAGUAAUUCGUUACGUAAAGCUCUAUCAGCAGGGAAGAAACACUGACCUUACGGUCAGCAGACGGUACCUGAGUAAGAAGCCCCGGCUAACUACGUGCGAGCAGCGGCGGUAAUACGGAGGGGGCAAGCGUUAUCCGGAUUUACUGGGUGUUAAGGGAGCGUAGACGGUGCGCCAAGGCUGGAGUGAAAUGCCGGGGCUUAACUGCGGAACUGCGUUGGAAACUGGCGAACGAGAGUGCGGGAGGGGUAUGCGGAAGUCCUGGUGUAGCGGUGAAAUGCGUAGAUAUGAGGAGGAACACCGAUGGCGAAGGCGGCUUACGGGAGCGUAACUGACGUUGAGGCUCGAAAGCGUGGGGAGCAAACAGGAUUAGAUACCCCAGUAGUC
This 458-nucleotide ribosomal RNA is filed under the name uncultured bacterium. Its description in RNAcentral is "partial 16S ribosomal RNA". It matches the Rfam family "Bacterial small subunit ribosomal RNA", at positions 338 to 795 of the family's 1533-position model. The record is from RNAcentral.